RNAcentral lists this ribosomal RNA (460 nucleotides) under uncultured bacterium. RNAcentral's name for it is "partial 16S ribosomal RNA". It matches the Rfam family "Bacterial small subunit ribosomal RNA", at positions 338 to 795 of the family's 1533-position model. The record is from RNAcentral.
CCUACGGGUGGCAGCAGUGAGGAAUAUUGGUCAAUGGACGAGAGUCUGAACCAGCCAAGUAGCGUGAAGGAUGACUGCCCUAUGGGUUGUAAACUUCUUUUAUAUGGGAAUAAAAUGUUCCACGUGUGGGAUUUUGUAUGUACCAUAUGAAUAAGGAUCGGCUAACUCCGUGCCAGCAGCCGCGGUAAUACGGAGGAUCCGAGCGUUAUCCGGAUUUAUUGGGUUUAAAGGGAGCGUAGGUGGAUUGUUAAGUCAGUUGUGAAAGUUUGCGGCUCAACCGUAAAAUUGCAGUUGAAACUGGCAGUCUUGAGUACAGUAGAGGUGUGCGGAAUGCGUGGUGUAGCGGUGAAAUGCUUAGAUAUCACGAAGAACUCCGAUUGCGAAGGCAGUUCACUGGACUGCAACUGACACUGAGGCUCGAAAGUGUGGGUAUCAAACAGGAUUAGAUACCCCAGUAGUC